This is a non-coding RNA of Pangasius djambal, 72 nucleotides long. The record is from the annotation of a GenBank genome assembly. NCBI's taxonomy places the organism in Eukaryota, Metazoa, Chordata, Actinopteri, Siluriformes, Pangasiidae.
UCCCUGGUGGACUAGUGGCUAGCGUGCGGCGCUCUCACUGCCGCUGCCUGGGUUCGGUUCCCGGUCAGGGAA